Molecule: non-coding RNA, 27 nt
Filed under: Bombyx mori (domestic silkworm)
Lineage: Eukaryota; Metazoa; Arthropoda; Insecta; Lepidoptera; Bombycidae
Source: RNAcentral
UAAUGCAAAGGUUAUUGGAUCUGAUGG